GACUAACACUUCAAAAUAAAAGUACAAAAUCAAAAAAACUAUGAUUUGGACCCUUGCAACUAUGCUAAAGUACCCAUGUUCUGCAUUUCUUUUAAAUUAUGUCGAACACAUUAAUGAUGUUUGUGACUCAUUUUUUCUAUAGUUUGAACGUCAAAGAAUCCAAAAAAAAUUAUUUUGUGCACCAGUUCCAUCGACUAACACCUCAAAAUACAAGUAUAAAAUAAAAACAACUAUGAUUUGGACCCUUGCAACUAUGCUUAAGAGCCCAUGUUCUGCAUUUUUUUAAAAUUAUGUCGAACACAUUAAUGAUGUUUGUGACUCAUUUUUUUUGUAGUCUGAACGUCAAAGAAUCCAAAAAAAAUUAUUUCGUGCACCAGUUCCAUAGAAUAACAC
This 393-nucleotide long non-coding RNA is filed under the name Glycine max (soybean). RNAcentral describes it as "long non-coding RNA (GMAX_LNC004741)". The record is from RNAcentral. Lineage: Eukaryota; Viridiplantae; Streptophyta; Magnoliopsida; Fabales; Fabaceae.